Long non-coding RNA from Canis lupus familiaris (dog), 773 nucleotides. RefSeq lists it as uncharacterized. NCBI's taxonomy places the organism in Eukaryota, Metazoa, Chordata, Mammalia, Carnivora, Canidae. The record is from RefSeq and is a predicted model, not a curated record. The transcript is spliced from 3 exons.
GGCCGAAGUACCGCGAGACUUCGCGCGGCGGAGAGGGGUACUGCGGGAAGGGACUCACUUCUUUACCACAGUUUACGGAUCAGCAAGUGUGAGAAGCCAACGCCUCGUCUAGUCAGAUGCUGGCCAAUCCCGAGCGCCAGUCCGCCUCGGCCCCGCCCACCAGUGGAGGACGGGCCAAUCCCUUCGAGGCUGGUGAGUGAGUCCGUCGGUUUGAGUGCUGAGCAGAAAGGAGCUUAGAAGAAAACGCAGCGAGCCUAGAACGAGCAAAUGCCAGAGAACACAAACACAAAAACAUGAGACAAAACCAGCAAGAUCACCCUCCAACUGGGCCACUCCCAAACCCUCUCCCUUCACUGACUGCAUCAGAAGGCUGCAGAUUUUGAGGAUCAAGCAAUUCCUGGCAAAGAGACAAAAGUGGAAUUGUCCCAAAAUCAAUGGAUUUGGAUGAAAAUUGGUAGUAGAACCAAUUACAACUGCAAGAGAAGACAUUGGAGAAGCACCAGUUCGGGUCUCUAAGGAAUUAUACAUGAGAUGGUGCUCAUCUAUGCCCUUUUAAGGUCAAUUACAUCUUACUAUAUCACUGAAAAUAUCACUGCCAUCUGGAUAGCUGGACAUGUUUUAUUGGGAGAACACCUCUUCCUUUUAUUUUAUACUUGUGCACUAGUAGCUUGGUUUAGUAAUAAAUAUGUGAGACCUUUUGUUUGGGAAAAAAAAAAGGGAGUGAGGAGAGUGUAGAAGGGAGAGGCCAUAUGGCAGACAGCAGCAGGAAGUUU